This 474-nucleotide ribosomal RNA is filed under the name Edricus spiniger. Its description in RNAcentral is "partial large subunit ribosomal RNA". It matches the Rfam family "Bacterial large subunit ribosomal RNA", at positions 1800 to 2615 of the family's 2925-position model. Lineage: Eukaryota; Metazoa; Arthropoda; Arachnida; Araneae; Araneidae. The record is from RNAcentral.
CUGUUUAUCAAAAACAUUUCUUACCAUUUUUUUAGUAAGUAACACCUGCUCAAUGAAACUUAAAUAGCCGCGGAAAUUUAACCGUGCUAAGGUAGCAUAAUCAUUAGCCUCUUAAUUAGGGGCUUGUAUGAAAGGUAAAACUUUUCAUUAACUGUAAUUAUUGAAUUAAUUGAAUUUUAAUUAGAAAUAAAAAUGUUUCUAUAGAAAAAUUAGACGACAAGACCCUAUUGAACUUCACUUAAGUUUAGCUGGGGCAGCUAAAUAAAAAUUAUUUUAUUUUAAGUUUUUUAUUGGAAAUCUAAUACUAUUAAUAGUAAACAAGUUACCAUAGGGAUAACAGCGUUAUAUUUUUUCAAAGCUCUUAUUAAAAAAAAAGAUUACGACCUCGAUGUUGAAUUAGUGAAACUUUUAGGUGAAGGAAUUUUUUAAGUUGGUCUGUUCGACCAUUAAACCACUACAUGAUCUGAGUUCAAA